GGAGGGGUGCCCGAGUGGUCGAAGGGGGCCGACUCGAAAUCGGCUGUGCGGGUAAAAGCCCGCACCGGGGGUUCGAAUCCCUCCCCCUCCGCCA
RNAcentral lists this transfer RNA (94 nucleotides) under Thermosulfurimonas marina. RNAcentral's name for it is "tRNA-Ser". It matches the Rfam family "tRNA". From Rfam's summary of the family: Transfer RNA (tRNA) molecules are approximately 80 nucleotides in length. Their secondary structure includes four short double-helical elements and three loops (D, anti-codon, and T loops). Further hydrogen bonds mediate the characteristic L-shaped molecular structure. tRNAs have two regions of fundamental functional importance: the anti-codon, which is responsible for specific mRNA codon recognition, and the 3' end, to which the tRNAs corresponding amino acid is attached (by aminoacyl-tRNA synthetases). tRNAs cope with the degeneracy of the genetic code in two manners: having more than one tRNA (with a specific anti-codon) for a particular amino acid; and 'wobble' base-pairing, i.e. permitting non-standard base-pairing at the 3rd anti-codon position. Lineage: Bacteria; Pseudomonadati; Thermodesulfobacteriota; Thermodesulfobacteria; Thermodesulfobacteriales; Thermodesulfobacteriaceae. The record is from RNAcentral.